This 547-nucleotide unclassified non-coding RNA is filed under the name plant metagenome. RNAcentral's name for it is "partial contains small subunit ribosomal RNA, internal transcribed spacer 1, and 5.8S ribosomal RNA". The record is from RNAcentral.
UCUCCGUUGGUGAACCAGCGGAGGGAUCAUUACAGGACUCGCAAGACUCCUACAACCCUGUGAACUUAACUAUAAGCACGUUGCUUCGGCGGGUGUCUCUGCGGGGGUUCUCCCUCCCCGCGACCCUAAACCCUCCGGCAGCCCUCUAUAUUCUGUCUCUUUUCGUUGGCAUCUCUCGUACUAUCACACAAGUCAACACUUUCCACAACUGACCCCUUGGUUCUGGCCGCAGCAGAAAACACAACAACACGUCAGAACUCCAGUCUCAACCUCUGUCACUACAGUCGGCUCGACCAGACGGUAAGUAAAUGUCGAAGCAAGGGUGCUGAUGGGGAGUCCGGGGGUGAACCAUCGGAGGACUCGUACAUAACAUACAUUCCUGGGAACUUAUCUAUAACCACGUCGACUGGGGGGGCGUCUUGGGGGUGGUUCUCCCUCCCGGGGGCGUUAAACCCGCCGGCAAACUACUAUACUCUGUCUCUUUGCGUUGGCAUCACGAGUACAAUCAAACAAGUUAAAACUUUCAACAACGGAUCUCUUGGUUCUG